CAAUUAAGAAGGCUCAAUUGAAGGACUUUUGGGACCAGAUUUCUGACCAGAGUUUUGAUUCCAGGCUCAGAACCGUCUUUGACAUGGUUGAUAAAGAUGCAGAUGGAAGAAUCACCGAGGAAGAAAUUAAAGAGAUCAUCUGCCUUAGUGCCACAACAAACAAACUCUCAAACAUACAGCAGCAGGCUAAAGAAUAUGCAGCUUUGAUCAUGGAAGAACUAGACCCUGAAGAGACAGGAUUUAUCAUGGUAUUUACAUCAUCCUAUUUCAGAUCAUU
Molecule: non-coding RNA, 277 nt
Organism: Arachis ipaensis
Lineage: Eukaryota; Viridiplantae; Streptophyta; Magnoliopsida; Fabales; Fabaceae
Source: RefSeq, a predicted model, not a curated record